CAAUAGCGUAUAUUAAAGUUGUUGCGGUUAAAAAGCCCGUAGUUGGAGUUCUGCCAGGUGCCGCCUGUCCGCCCCAGUGGUGAGUACGUGGCGCGCAUUUGGCCCUUUCAAGGGGAGCGUAUCUGCACUUUAUUGUGUGGUGCGGGAUCCUUGACUUUUACUUUGAGGAAAUAGGAGUGUUCCAAGCAGGCUCUCGUCGUGCACAGCUCAGCAUGGAAUAAUAGCAUUGGACCUCGAUUCUAAGCUGUUGGUUGCCAGAAGCGAGGUAAUGAUGAAGAGGGAUAGUUGGGGGCAUUCGUAUUUAACUGUCGGAGGUGAAAUUCUUGGAUUUGUUAAAGACGGACUACUGCGAAAGCAUCUGCCAUGGAUGUUUUCGUUGA
Molecule: ribosomal RNA, 380 nt
Filed under: uncultured eukaryote
Lineage: Eukaryota
Description: partial 18S ribosomal RNA
Rfam family: Eukaryotic small subunit ribosomal RNA
Source: RNAcentral